CCUACGGGUGGCAGCAGUGGGGAAUAUUGCACAAUGGGGGAAACCCUGAUGCAGCGACGCCGCGUGAGCGAUGAAGUAUUUCGGUAUGUAAAGCUCUAUUAGCAGGGAAGAAAAUGACGGUACCUGACUAAGAAGCACCGGCUAACUACGUGCCAGCACCCGCGGUACGAAGGAGGGGGCAAGCGUUAUCCGGAUUUACUGGGUGUAAAGGGAGAGUAGACGGUCUUGCAAGCCAGAUGUGAAAGCCCGGGGCUCAACCCCGGGACUGCAUUUGGAACUGUAAGGCUAGAGUGUCGGAGAGGCAGGCGGAAUUCAUGGUGUAGCGGUGAAAGGCGUAGAUAUUAGGAAGAAGACCAGUGGCGAAGGCGGCCUGCUGGACGAUGACUGACGUUGAGGCUCGAAAGCGUGGGGAGCAAACAGGAUUAGAUACCCCGGUAGUC
This 440-nucleotide ribosomal RNA is filed under the name uncultured bacterium. Its description in RNAcentral is "partial 16S ribosomal RNA". It matches the Rfam family "Bacterial small subunit ribosomal RNA", at positions 338 to 795 of the family's 1533-position model. The record is from RNAcentral.